CAGUAACGGCGAGUGAAGCGGGAAGAGCUCAAAUUUGAAAUCUUCGGAAUUGUAGUUUAGAGAAGGAGCAUAGCUUAGCGAUCCGGUUCAAGUUCCUUGGAACAGGACCCCAGAGAGCGUGACAGGCGCGUAGAGCCGCGGUCGCNAAGCGUACCAUGCCCUUUCGACGAGUCGGGUUGUUCGGGAUUGCAGCCCAAACUGGGUGGUAAAUUUCAUCUAAAGCUAAAUAUUGGCACAAGACCGAUAGCGAACAAGUACUGUGAAGGAAAGAUGAAAAGCACUUUGAAAAGAGAGUUAAAAGUACGUGAAACCGUCCUAAAGGAAGCGAUUGGAGUCAGCAGUGCAGCGGCCAUUAUCAGCGACUAACCCAGGACAAAGGAGAUCGCAAGACUCCUCGGGACGGGGUGCGGUCGUUCACUAUUGGUCUGCAGCGAGUCAACCGCGGUUUGGAGGGGACUUGAGAGGGGGUGAGAAGGUAGCCGCUUCGGCGGUGUUACAGCUCGCACUCUGUAGUCCCUUUUGGAUCGUUGCAAGGUGGAGUUACCGGAGCCUGACGACUUGUGAGCAUCUUGCCGGACUGCACGCAGUGCGGUGGGGUAGUGAGCCGGUCCGAGGGUGAGGAUAGAACACCUCUGGGUUGACGAAAUGGCUUUAACCGACCCGUCUUGAAACACGGACCAAGGAGUCUAACAUAUGAGCGAGUGUUUGGGUGUCAAACCCUCACGCGAAGUGAAAGCAAAAGGGGAGGUUACCCUCGACCGAACUGGAUAUUCUUUGAAAGUUUUGAGUUAGAGCUCAUCUGUUGGGACCCGAAAGAUGGUGAACUAUGCCUGAAUAGGGUGAAGUCAGAGGAAACUCUGAUGGAAGCUCGUAGCGGUUCUGACGUGCAAAUCGAUCGUCAAAUUUGGGUAUAGGGGCGAAAGACUAAUCGAACCAUCUAGUAGCUGGUUCCCACCGAAGUUUCCCUCAGGAUAGCUGGAACUUAGACAGUUUUAUCAGGUAAAGCGAAUGAUUAGAGGAUUCUGUGGCGAAAUGCUGUAGACCUAUUCUCAAACUUUAAAUAGGUAAGAUGCCCGACUUGCUUAGGUGAAGCCGGGCACUGAAUGUGAGUUCCAUGUGGGCCAUUUUUGGUAAGCAGAACUGGCGAUGCGGGAUGAUCCGAACGCGGGAGUUAAGGCGCCAAAAUCGACGCUCAUCAGACCCCAUAAAAGGUGUUGGUUGAUCUAGACAGCAGGACGGUGGCCAUGGAAGUCGGAAUCCGCUAAGGAGUGUGUAACAACCCACCUGCCGAAUCAACUAGCCCUGAAAAUUGAUGGCGCUUAAGCGUCGUGCCUAUACUCCGCCGUUGGCGCAAAUGCGAGGCGCCAACGAGUAGGUGGGCGUGGAGGUCGUGACGAAGCCGAGGCGUGAGCCUAGGUGAAACGGCCUCUGGUGCAGAUCUUGGUGGUAGUAGCAAAUAUUCAAAUGAGAACUUUGAAGACUGAAGUGGAGAAAGGUUCCAUGUGAACAGCAGUUGGACAUGGGUUAGUCGAUCCUAAGAGAUAGGGAAACUCCGUUUUAAGACGCGCGAUUCGUUGCGCUGCCUAUCGAAAGGGAAUCGGGUUAAUAUUCCCGAACCGGGACGAGGAUAGUUUUGCGGCGACGCAACUGAACUUGGAGACGCCGGCGGGGGCCCUGGGAAGAGUUCUCUUUUCUUUUUAACGCACUAUAGCCCUGGAAUCGGAUUAUCCGGAGAUAGGGUCUAAUGUGAGGUAAAGCAGCACACUUCAUGUGCUGUCCGGUGCGCCCCCGACGGCCCUUGAAAAUCCAAGGGAAAGAAUGAUUUUCUCGCCCGGUCGUACUCAUAACCGCAGCAGGUCUCCUAGGUUAACAGCCUCUAG
This 1880-nucleotide ribosomal RNA is filed under the name Kalathoeca cupula. RNAcentral describes it as "partial large subunit ribosomal RNA". It matches the Rfam family "Eukaryotic large subunit ribosomal RNA", at positions 81 to 1886 of the family's 3401-position model. Lineage: Eukaryota; Choanoflagellata; Acanthoecida; Acanthoecidae. The record is from RNAcentral.